CCUACGGGCGGCAGCAGUGGGGAAUAUUGGGCAAUGGGCGCUAGCCUGACCCAGCAACGCCGCGUGAAGGAAGAAGGCUCUCGGGUUGUAAACUUCUUUUAAGGGGGAAGAGCAGAAGACGGUACCCCUUGAAUAAGCCACGGCUAACGACGGGCCAGCAGCCGCGGGAAUACGUAGGUGGCAAGCGUUGUCCGGAUUUACUGGGUUUAAAGGGCGUGCAGCCGGGUAGACAAGUCAGUUGUGAAAUCCAGGGGCUCAACCCUUGAAUUGCAGUUGAAACUGUUUCCCUUGAGUGUCGGAGAGGUAGUCGGAAUUCCUUGUGUAGCGGUGAAAUGCGUAGAUAUAAGGAAGAACACCGGUUGCGAAGGCAGAUUACUGGACGGUAACUGACGGUGAGGCGCGAAAGCGUGGGGAGCAAACAGGAUUAGAUACCCCUGUAGUC
This 442-nucleotide ribosomal RNA is filed under the name uncultured bacterium. Its description in RNAcentral is "partial 16S ribosomal RNA". It matches the Rfam family "Bacterial small subunit ribosomal RNA", at positions 338 to 795 of the family's 1533-position model. The record is from RNAcentral.